Thalassophryne amazonica is the source of this 2212-nucleotide RNA transcript. RefSeq lists it as uncharacterized. The transcript has 6 exons. The record is from RefSeq and is a predicted model, not a curated record. NCBI's taxonomy places the organism in Eukaryota, Metazoa, Chordata, Actinopteri, Batrachoidiformes, Batrachoididae.
UGCAUGAACGCGCUGGCUGCGUGGAGUUCGCUGUGGACGAAUUCACGGCUCACCUGUUCUGUUGUGUAAAAAUGUCCACGUUGGAAAUGCUGAAAAGUUUUGUUAACCAGCGGCUUAGUGCCGCUGUGGAAGAGAUUUUCGGGCUUUUAGAAACAACAAUAUCGAACUACGAAGAAGAGAUUGAUCGUCAACACAAGCUGCUAGCCGACGUCAAACCUGCCAUCCCGAUCAACAAAACAGAUCCUGAACACGCUGUGAGGUUUCGUGUUGUCAUUGACCAUGACAUCAAGAAGAUUACGCUAAACAGUGGAAUGCCGUCAUCUGUGGAGGUCUUGAUUACAGCUGUCAAAGAAGCUUUUUCCAUCAAUUCACAGAUAAGUCUUCAGUACAAAGAUGCAGACUUUGAUGACUUUUUUACCUUGACCUCGACAAGUGACCUCAAAGACAAAGACACGCUCAAAGUAGUGUAUGUGCCACCAGAAAUUAUACUCACCAUGCACCCCCAUGACAGAAACCCAGAUGCCUCGGAUGUGUCCUCUGUGGAUGAUUUGCUCUCCAUGGAUUCACAAGACACUUUGAUCGAAAGUCCCACCUCGUCCGAAAGGCAGAAUACAUGGCUUCCCAUGAUUCCCAAGUCUUCCCCUUCUGAAAGGCAGAGCCUGUGGCCUGCACAGUUUCCCAUUCCAACUUUCUCUUACAACACUGAGUUGGCUUUGAAGCAAGGCAAUGAGAAGUAUCUCAGAGAUGGAACGCCUCUGACAACACCAAGUGUUAAAUCUGACAUUCUGGAGCGUCUGGCUGAGGCCAUAUUCUCCUACACAGCGUAUCCCAACGAUGCCCAGAAGGCUGCAGUCGCGCAAGCACUCAUCCAGAAGCAUCCCUGCUUGAAAGAGCCGGGGUCUUUCAACGGAUGUUAUGGGUGGCAGCAAAGCAUCAAAUACAAAUGUGGAAACUACCGCUGCAAACUCAAAGCUCAUGGAACACCAGAGGUCCUGAUAAAUUCAAUGAAGCAUAAGAUGGUGGGUGACAGAAAACCAGCCAAAAAUAUCAAGAGACCAAGAAAAGCAGAGGUUAAUUAUCUUCCCUCACACCCGCCUGGUGAAACCGACGAGUCGCUGGAGAAUGUGAGAAUAAAGCUGAUUGAAGCUGUGAAGAAUGGUGAUAGAAAGGAGAUAAAUGGCUUGAUGUUCAGAACGUACAGCUGCAGAAGAAAAGAAGUGGUUGCUCAGUCGAUAAGGGUGGCAGAAUUCAAGGAGAGAUGGCCCGCCCUCUUUGAACCGUUUCAGAUAAAUGAGGAGUUCAGAAGGUGCAACACUAUUCCUCUAGAGUCCACCUUCAUGUCCCAGCUGGAUAAGUACACACCAAAGCUCCUGGAGUUAUUCAGUUCCAGAGGAGGUCUUGUUGGUCAGCGCCUAAAGAAUGUGUUGAUGGAACUGAUACAGGAUCCAACAGCUACAGUGGUGAAGAAGAGAGAUGUGACUCUGAGAUGCCUCAUUGAGUAUUUGGGGGAAAAUGGACAGGAACUCAUAUCUGACUACUAUAUGACAACAGAAAGUAGUGUGCAUAAAGACCUUGAAAUGCAGAACAUGAGGAUCUACGUUUGCCAGAAUCCAGAUGUGGUGGGGAUCAUCAUCGAGGGAACUCCCGUCCUGACGGGUCUGAGUAACUUGGCCACGGCAUGUUCUCUUCUCCUCGGCCUGACUUACGCCCUCAAUCUGGAAUAUCCUUCCAAACUUUCCAAGACAUUUGAAGUGUUUCAAAGGCUCUUUGUGGGACUCGACACUCUUCAGCCAAAACCAAGUUCCAAGUAUGUUAACCUGAAAAACAGGCUUCUGGCCUGAUGGUUGGAUCUGAGCCGGGUUUAUCAAACCAGGCAGGAGUCCUGGUUUCCCACAAUGCCUGCGGCACUUAGGACGUCUUUGAAAGCUGUUCUUAUCUUGAUGACUGGAAUCCGUUGUAGGUUUUUUUAUUUUAUGUUUUUAUGAAUCAGAACAUUAAUGUCUGGAUAAAUCCCAUCAUUUCAUUGACACUUUGACAACUUUACACAGAUGACUGUAGCAAGCGAUUUUUCUCCCGACAUCCCGUUAUAGCAAAUCAGCAUGUUCCAAAUUUGUGGGUUUAGGAGGAAAUGAGCGUUUGUCGUGGUUCUGUUGUUUUGUGCUGGUACCAGUAAAGUUGCGGCUGUGGUUUUACUGCAGUGUCCUUUGUUUUA